AAAAAAAAAAAAAAUCUCCAUUCAAAGGCACAGAAGAAAUGUGAAUGAAAGCAGCAUUUGCAUCUUUCUGCAUAAGGUACAGGCAGUCAAAGAUCUGCAUGCUCUAGGCAGCACAAGCAUUGAUUUCUAGUGCCUCAAUGUGAAUUUCACAUAUUCACAACAAAGAUAAUUUCUUUGAUUUACAUGCAAGGAAAGAGAAGAAUCCAAUCUCAUUUGAGCACUGAUAGAGAUCAGGCUCCAGCAUCUGAAUACAACAGAUGCUACACUCUUGUGGCAUGGUGUGAAAGUCACAGAAGGGGUUAUAAUUAGACCUGCUCAAGCUUUUGGGCCAUGUAAUACCCAGCAGGGCAGCAGUGUCAGGUUUACUCAGAUGAUAGCAAAGCUGAAUGAAGAGGGAGACUGAAUUACUCAGAAUGAAAAGCCAUAUUGGCAUCAGUGCUGGCAAUAUGGCUCUGAACAUUUGAGAACAUAAAGCUUAAACAGUCUGGCAAAGAACUUGGGUAUUGCAAUUCCUGGCCCUUUCUCUCUGCUGGACUAUGUUACUCAUCUUGUGUUCCCUCUUGGCUCUUAUCUGUCUGUUGUUGCUUAUGCUUUAAAUAGAAUUAAAUAAGUCACUACUGUUAACCAAAUAUGUUGAUAGCCAGUGUUUUCCAGAAAUCAUCUCUUUCUUUGAAUAGAGCCUGUCUUACUAGACACCCUUCAGAGGGCUCAGCCUCUUCUGCAUAGAUCUUUAUCCCAGAAUUUUGGGGAUAUAAAUCUGCAGUUAUGUGCAUCUUACUAAUGACAUUUCUCCAUUGAGAAAAAGUUGUGUUUGCCUGAGUUAAAGCUUUUUAUUAGUCUGACCUUAACUCCCCUGUUUCCAGUACCAAGUGCAACUUUCCUCUGAAAAGCCAAAGGCAACAUUUCCAUGGAGCAUAUGGAGAAAAUCCUGCAUCGAUCUCCUUUAGCUUGUUUGCCUCUGAAGUGCACACAAGGAAACAUGUCAGGAAUUAAGUCAAAACAGGUAAUGUACAGUGGAAACCUCCUCUCAUAAAUUAGCUUUGAUUCCUCAAAAGAAGGAAAGCCAUGUGUGAUUGGUUUUACCACAUCCACUGUUGUCUUCUUGGUUUUUAGGAUGUUGUGAGGAGUACAGAAAGCAAACACUCAGGCAGCACAAAGGUCAGGGUGUCAGUUUGGAUAGGUGGGAGGAAUUGGAUUGUGUUGGAAGUAUUUUGUGUUUUUUGGGGGAAAAUACAACUUUCAGUCCAGAAAGCAGGUUUCUCUGUAGCUAAGUUGGGCCCUUGUUCCUGAAGUAGAAUACUGAAGACGUAAAUGAGGGUUGGUUUCUUCAUUCAUUUAUUAAACAAGCAAUAAAUAACACUUUAUCUACUUCACAACGUGACCAGUCCCAUUUCCACACACUUCUGAUUUGAUCUGUGUUAACAGAACAUGAGCUUCCAGACAAGCAAGCACAGAGUGUCUGCCUUGCUGGAUUCCUUCUUUAGCCUGUGAAACAGCAUAUGUUUGUUUUGGCUGUCUGAAUGUGGUAUUUUUUGCUCACUGGAAAAGCUGACAGUGUUUCAGUCUCUGCACUGUUUUUUCUUGUUUUGUGUUUAACUUUUCACCUUCCACUUUCUUUCCUAGACUAGCAGAAAUCACCUAAAAAUCGUCAGGAAAAGGUGGUAUAUUCCUGGAGGGAGGUGAGAGGCUGGGGUGUCCAUUGCUUUUUCCUGAGUUUACCCGUAGGUUUAUUCCCAUCAGCCUGUAGAAGUUGGCUAGAUUUUUAUGUUCUUUGGUUUUCUCACUUCCUGUGUUUUGCAGAGCAUAACCCGAGUGCCUCCUGCACUAGACUCCCUUUUAAACUGAAUUUAACAUAGAUAUGGAGUAGACAACAACAUUCUGUUCUAAACAGAAAUCAAGUGAGGUCAAUUAAGCAGUUUAUUGCCACUAUACCUUAUUAAGUCUUUGUUGCAAGCAAGAUAGAGUUUGUGUCCUGCAGAAUGGGUUGGUCUUAUCCACCUAAAACAAUCUCCUGCACUAUGUCAGCAAUGCUGUGGUCAACACAAGUGAAGUUAAAAAAAGCUGAAUACACUGAACUGUGUAAAUAAAGUACCCUUCCAAUUGGGAAUGCAGUCCUCCGUAUGAAGAAGUGUGGCAGAAUCUUAGAUUUCUUAAGGAAUAGAAGAAAGCUGAUUAAAGAAUGGUCUCCAGUCUGAAGUUAUGAACUGAUUUUCUAAAGCAGAGUCCCUGCUUGAGUAACUGAAUGAACUGUCUGGAUUUGGAAAUAAGAGAAAGUGCUGCAUGUAUAAUUUUAAAAUAAACAGAGCCAAAGCCUGGAAGUGUGAAAGCAGCACUGGGAAACAACUUAAACAUCAAAGAAGAAUUUUUUGGAUGUUUAACUGUUUGAAAACUGGACUCACAUAUUUUUAUUUUAGCAGGAAAAAAGCCCUGUUAAGUUAUUUCGUAGACUGCCUUUGAUCAAAGUUUUGAAAUAGUGUCAAAAUCAAUCAUAAGAAAACCUGGGAUUGGGGAAGUAAUGUUUCUUUUUAAAUAAAAAUUUAUCUUUUUGACCUACAGAAGGUUUAUUCCUUUUAGCAUCAUACUUGAGGUUUGUUCACCUUGUUAUUCCAAGAAUGAGAAAGUGCUGAAGCCAGUGUAAAUGAUGUAACAACACAGCCCACAAGAGGCCAGUAUGUAUUUAAGUUUUGAGCUAUUCAAAUCCAUAUUUGUCCAGUGUAAGAGGACCCAGGCAUCUUCCUGGGAAUGCAACAAGCUACACAACUUCAUGUGAGCUGAGGGACACAGAAAGGUCAAUAAUGGUUGUGAAAGCUCCUGUGGUAGGAAUGACCAGGACCUUAUCAGCUGAGAUAAAAAGGUAAUUAAUAUUUACAUAAACAUAUACUGUCAAGAAUGUCAUAAUACUUUGUGUUCUGUGCCUGUGGUCAGGCAGGGUGGAAAUUGGCUGUGUGAGUUCAAUAUCUUUAAGUCCACAUCUGCUUUGUUUUUCUUUUUCUUUUCCUUCCCUUACAAUGAAAGGAACUUUGUAAAGUUUCACUCCAAAGUGUAACCAGGCUUUGCCUUCAAAAAAUCUGUAGCCAAGGAUGAAAAAUUUGAUCAUGCCAUAGAAAUCUAAGUGAAGGGAAUUGCGUUUUUGAGGUGAAAGGAGAACAGUAAAGGUGAUUGGAUAACUUUUAAGCCCUGUCAUUGUAGCUUUUGUAGGAUUUGAAAAUCGAAAUCUGAAGGCAUGCAGAGCAGUGGACCAGUGAGCCAAGCAGCAUCCUCUAUCCCUUCUCAUUUUAUCACUGGGUGCUGCUGCUGUGGAUUUGCCUCACAAUGGCUGAGGGGCAAAACCACAGCAUUCUUUUCAAGGGCCUCUUGGGACAGGGUAAUAUCUCUUAUUUUCCUAGCCAGCCCAAAUCAGUGCUGUCCCCAACACCCAUGGCCAUUGGUAUGUACACGGGAGUGAAGGGAUGAGACAGGGAGGGAAAGAGGAUGGGAACAUCUUCGGGCAGACUAGGCAUAAGGAGACGGAAAAUUUGUGUAUCAUACAGGCAGCCUGGAGGCAAAAGCCAGCUCAGCAUGGAGAUCAGGGUAUAUAUAUUCUGUUAAGGAAAAGGAUCUCUUUGGAGAGAUGCCCAAAACAGUACUUUUGGCAUAUCUGUAAUUCCUGCUGGCAACAAAGCAAACUCUCAAGGUCAUAUGGUCUUAACACUGUCUUUCCUGUGGGCUGUAUCUUCUAGGUGGCCAUGCAUCAUCUUAACUUUAUCAUUUGUGCCCCCAAAUCUUGCAAAGGCUUUUGGGUUGAUUUUCUUCUGCCCUAAGAUCUUUCAGCAGCAUUAAACGACUGUGUCAGAGGCUACAAUUCCUUACUGUGUCUGUCUUGUCACAGAACAAUUUUUAAAACGAGAGAGCUGCAGUUUGUAGAUUACUAAUACUCAUCCCUCAAGGACCACAAUCAAAUAGCCCAGUUUCCCCAAACUGCGUUUCACACAUGGACCAAUCUUGGAUUAUCUUGGCUUCAAGCAGCCUUCUUACUGUCUUGUCACUGCAGUGAUGACAAUGGCACAGCUCCCAGCCACACCCACUGGGAGCAGCUAGGGCACAUGCUCUUGUGUAAUUCACAAAUCCCUUUGUAUGUGAUAUACUUAGGAGAGCUGGGGAGGUCCUUGAUUAGAAAGAAGUGUAAUGAAAUAGUCUAAAUGAAUUAAGAUGGAAUAACUCAAGCUGGUAAUCAAGUUUCUUUUGAUAUUCCUGGUGUAAAAUGGAGACAUUCUGCUGCUAACCACAGAAAAAUAACUCUGUUUUAGAGUGGUGUUCUCAGGGAGCUUUAGAAUUUAGUUUUCAAGGACAGAUCCUUACUGGGCAGUUUUUGGGGGAAAAUCCAAACCAGUUUUACUUGACUUAACAACUAGUUAAUACUAAAAUAAACCAAAUGGCUUCAUUCUGAUAGAAAAAUUUUGCUCUUUAAAGCCCUCUGCAAUUAAGCAUCAAAGCAGAAGGAUUUAUCCUAAAAUUAUGGGCAUUUACCUAGACAUAGGGCAUGAGCAGCACUGAAGAGUGAUAUUCAGUUAGUGCUGAACCAAGUUCUAAUGGGCUUUUUGAUACAUCCAGCUGUGAAGCCUUCUUGAAUGACAUCUGAUAUCGAGCACCUUACAGCACUCCUGCACAGCAAGGCAGCCCCAUUUUCUCAUUGUCUAGGUGACAAGAUAUCUGCAGAAAGAGCAAAUUACUUGCCCAGAAUCCUGCAGAAAAUCAGCAAAGAAGCGAGGAGAUGAUCAGCAGCCUCCUACAGACAACUAGAAUUCUUCCUGCUGCACAAACCUUUCUCUCUCAGGAGUUUUAGGUGAUGAGCAGUUCUCUGUGUAGCUUUGUGGUUUGGGGCUUCUUGUUGUAUCCUUUCUUUGCCAUUCCUGGUAAAUAAAUCCUGAAAACAUUACCUUGCUGUUCACUUAAUUAACAUGCUUUUUCCCCAACCAAAGUGUUUUUCAGGAAGUCUUCUGCCUUGUUGGAAACUUGUAGCAUGCUGAUGUGCUCCUUUGAGAUCCUUGCUGGAGAAAGCCUUCCUGAAUUUGUGGGAAAACCUUGUCCACUGAAAAAACCCAAGGGUGUGCUCCCUAAAUCCUGACAGAACCUCAACCACUAAAAGUGAAAAACAGACAUCAGUGUCAGUGCUUGGGAUCUCCCUGGUAAAGAAAGUGCAAAGCUUCACUUAGAAGUUCAAUGAGAAAGAGUCAAAGUGGGAUGAUAAGUAUGAAUGAUGAUUCAACGGAUGAUGGACUGGCCCACACUGUGAAAAUGAAGGGUGUUCAACCCAGUUACUUAAGAGGCUUGGGUGUUAAGACUGGAGGUCUAGUACAGAACACUCUGCUCUUCACUGAUGUUACCUAUGGGACUUGGACUUGACUGCAGUUUGCUGAAGACCAGCAUCACAACAGGAGGCUGAUUCUCCAAUUAUGGAAGAACCUGUCCUCAAGAUUUUUGCUACACACAGUGUCACUGUGAAGAACCAAGCACACUGCAAGCAUCAAGGUCCCCUUGGCAAAACCAAGGCUCAAAGUCACAUCAAGGACAGUAUGGAGGAGACUGAGAAAGAAGAUGUGGUGUUGGAGAAAGCCAGUCUGGCAUCCUGAAAUGGGACCAAGUUCUGUAUUCACAUUUGCAAGCUGUGGACUCUGCUGCUGUCACACAGCCUUCAGAACUGCUGCAGGUGGUGGAUUUUUCAACUCCAGCUUCAGCUUAGCCUGGCAGCAAACCAGACCAUGGAGAUGCUCUGUAAGGACAUUAAAGACAUGAGUUGAAGACACCAAAAAGCAGAAAAAAAUGCACUAAUAUCCCUAUCUCUAGUACCAUUCACAGACAAAUACUACUUCUGAAUCUAAGCCAAGAGUGAAGCUGGUAUGGGAGAAGCAGCAUCGUUAGAGGAAGGAAUUCUAGCAAUGUUACCUUCAGGUUUGAUCUGACUGUGAGGCUGAAGAGCCACAUGGUGGUUUGUGCUGGGACAGCACCAUGCCUUUCACAUCUUAUCUAAUACUACAUGAACUCAGGCUCCACAGGAACUUGCAAAAUGAGCCCCACCAUAAGAAGGUAUCUCUCAGUUGACAUUGUACAAGUUGAUCUGUAUUGCACCAGCUGUUUUCCCUCAGCUCCCAAGAUGAUCGAACUGUAGCAUGAGGUUAUGUGGAAUCUCCCAGGCCACACCAGCUCAUGCGCUUUGCUGGGGACAAAGCCUGCCAUUUUCUUUGCAGAUUGAAGAAAUCUCCAGCACUGGUGUCCUUGAAACAUUUUUCUAUUGGGCUGAUUCUGAACAAGUAGCUCCUAUAGCCACAGACAUCCUUGUGCUCAAAGGUGAGGAUUGUUUCUGUUGCUGCCCAAGCCAGGAAGCAAAACUUCAUAGUUGCAGUUGUCUUGGCCAAUGCUCCCCACCACCACCACCAGUGGAGGACAAGAACCACUCCCAGUGCUGGUCCACAGCACCAGCUGAUUUGUUUCUGACCUGUUUUCACGUUAUCCUCAAGAGGAGUUGCAGAGAUGUCCAUUACAACAUUAACAUGCAGGCUGCAGGUACAGUAUAGAGAAAACUCCAUCACCUUGGGGUACUGACAAGAGGUACAAAAAAAAAAAA
Molecule: non-coding RNA, 6601 nt
Organism: Lonchura striata (white-rumped munia)
Lineage: Eukaryota; Metazoa; Chordata; Aves; Passeriformes; Estrildidae
Source: RefSeq, a predicted model, not a curated record